GACGAACGCUGGCGGCGUGCUUAACACAUGCAAGUCGAGCGGGAAAGUUUCCUUCGGGAAGCGAGUACAGCGGCAGACGGGUGAGUACGACGUAGGUAACCUACCCUCGAGACUGGGAUAACCUGUCGAAAGACGGGCUAAUACCGGAUAAGACCACAAGGGCUGCGGCCUUUGAGGUAAAAGAUGGCCUCUGCUUGCAAGCUAUCACUUGGGGGAUGGGGCCUGCGCGCCAUUAGCAGUUGGUGAGGUAACGGCUCACCAAGGCAAAGAUGGCUAGCUGGUCUGAGAGGAUGGCCAGCCACACUGGGACUGAGACACGGCUCAGACUCCUACGGGAGGCAACAGUGGGGAAUAUUGCGCAAUGGGCGAAAGCCUGACGCAGCGACG
Molecule: ribosomal RNA, 387 nt
Filed under: uncultured bacterium
Lineage: Bacteria
Description: bacterial SSU rRNA
Rfam family: Bacterial small subunit ribosomal RNA
Source: RNAcentral